CUCCUAUUGUCACUCUUGGCCUACGGAAGACAGCUGAUGCUGAGUUUGAAUGAUUCACUCUCCUCAAAUGCAUUUCUUUACUGCCUCAGUGAAGGAUGUGUUCUCUGAGCCCACCCAGAAAAACUGGCUGGUAGAAAAGAAAGCAGAGUUGGGCAUGGAGGAGAUGCCAUACAGAGAACCAUCUCAGUCUGGUGACCCCCACCCAGGUGAUGCUGAAGGUAUUGAGAGGCAGACACCCAGAUAGAACAAUAGAGUGGACCUAUCUGGGGGACCAACAUCCUAAGAGCUGAGAGGCUGACAGCGUUCCGGGCUGAAGGCCCCAAGCAGAUUCUCAUCCAUGUAUGUAUUUGCUCUUAAACAGGUGAGUCUUAUUAAUACACAGGUGCCCUACAUUUACUCAUAAGUCAAGAAUAUGCUAAGUAGGCAGCUGUUACCUGACUACCAUUGAUUACAAAUGAAAAGAUGUCCUCACAGAGGAGCCAUGGGGGCAGGGUAAACUAAAUGUUUCUCAACAUUCCCAUACUGCCCUCUGCUCCCCUCCCAGUGCCUUCCAUGAAUGGACUCCCAACAGAAGCCUGAAGGCAAGGGGGUCCAUGGGAUCAACCUCUUGGGGCAGAGGACAGGGGGCAAAAGACAGGUGGAGAAUGGAUCCCAGGAAAGGGUGUGGGGCACUUGAAGAACAAAUGGCUCAGAACACCACCAAUACAGAUACAGACAUCCAACAGCAUCUUUCCUCUGAUGGU
RNAcentral lists this long non-coding RNA (743 nucleotides) under Callithrix jacchus (white-tufted-ear marmoset). Its description in RNAcentral is "lncRNA (ENSCJAG00000061843.2)". The record is from RNAcentral. Lineage: Eukaryota; Metazoa; Chordata; Mammalia; Primates; Cebidae.